AUGGAUUUAUCUUCAGAGAUGAACAAACAUGGAAGGAAUCCAGUAAGUCACAAACUAGAAGAUCAAAAGAAGUCUUUUGAUGUGCCAGCUGAGGGGUUACAGACUCGGUACAUGUUCUUCCUGGUGUGCUGGCCUCUAAUCGGAGCUCUACAGCAAGCAGAGAGGUCAUUCUGGGGUAGCACUUUGUGGCUGUUGUGCACUUAAUACGGGGCCUUAAAAUGAGAUUUAGUGGCCUUUGAAUUACUGCAUAGGUUCAAUGAGGCUGUUAACAUCAAAAUAAUGUAUUAAACUACAUAUUAUGUGCUUUAUUAUUACACAGGCUUGUUACAAUAAGUGCUGCUGGUUUUGGCAUGGAAUAUUGGUAUGAAAGACACUGUCCAAUGUUUCAAAUAAUUUUGAUAUUAUUUGGGAAAAAUACAAAUUGGGGAAAUUUAUAAGCAGCAUAAAUGAAAUUGUUUUAAGUCCUGGAAAAUUAAAUACUUGGUUUUAAUGCCUUUGAAAUUUGUAUUUGUUAAUCUAAGUCAUUCAGUCACAGCUGAUAGCCUUUUAAAGAGUGAAUUGCUGGAAAUAUACCAUGAUAACACAUACAAUGAAAUUAUUGGGAAAAUAUAUUCAGACUUUGAGCAGGCUCUUGGUAAUGGAAAAGACACAGAGGUACAUGAUAGGAGAUAACUGGUUUAGAGCAUGGGACUUUCUCCAACUCAUAAUUCCCACCCUUUUUUUGCAUCAAAGAAAAGCUGUGAAAUAUUAGGGUUAAUCUCAACAUCCAUUGGACUGCUUUCUGAACCAUGGUUAUCUGACCUGAAAUUGAUUAUGCUCUAGGGGGUGUGUUUUUCUCUUUUUUUUUUUUUUUCUUUUCAAAAGAAAAUUUGGUUUUUCAUCUCUAAGUGCAUUUUGCAGAUUCACGUAUAGAGGCUGAUUCUUCAGAUUGCUUAGGAGGAGAAAGAUUGUUUCAAAGAGGAUCUGUUGUACCUUGAGGUCAAUUUUUUCUUUGAGCAAGGAUAUUUUAUCCAGCUGUAGAACUAUGAAACAACCACUGAAGACUCUGUAGCUGCUAAAAAUGUCUGGUCCUGUGGCACAGUUCAUGCUGAAGAACUGAAUUUCAUGAUCAUAAACACAAGUCUGGUUAUUUUUCAUUACACACAGGAAUUCUAACUAGUAAUUUCAUAUAUUUGGUGUGCUAAUGCCUUUUUUUUUUUUAAUAGGAGGUUACUGUUAGAUUUUAAUAAAAUGAGGCUUCAAAAAC
This 1246-nucleotide long non-coding RNA is filed under the name Anser brachyrhynchus (Pink-footed goose). RNAcentral describes it as "lncRNA (ENSABRG00000002509.1)". Lineage: Eukaryota; Metazoa; Chordata; Aves; Anseriformes; Anatidae. The record is from RNAcentral.